AACGCGAAGAACCUUACCUGGGCUUGAACCGCUACUGACCAGCGAUAGAAAUAUUGCCUUCCCGCAAGGGACAGUAGUAGAGGUGCUGCAUGGCUGUCGUCAGCUCGUGCCGUGAGGUGUUGGGUUAAGUCCCGCAACGAGCGCAACCCUUAUUCGUAGUUGCCACCCGCAAGGGGGAACUCUACGAGGACUGCUCCGGAUAACGGAGAGGAAGGUGGGGAUGACGUCAAGUCAGCACGGCCUUUAUGUCCAGGGCUACACACGUGUUACAAUGCACGGUACAGACUGUUGCGAACCCGCGAGGGGGAGCUAAUCGGAUAAAACCGUGCUCAGUUCGGAUUGCAGUCUGCAACUCGACUGCAUGAAGCUGGAAUCGCUAGUAAUGGCGUAUCAGAUCGACGCCGUGAAUACGUUCCCGGGCCUUGUACACACCGAGACGAC
Molecule: ribosomal RNA, 441 nt
Filed under: uncultured bacterium
Lineage: Bacteria
Description: bacterial SSU rRNA
Rfam family: Bacterial small subunit ribosomal RNA
Source: RNAcentral